GAUGAACGCUGGCGGCGUGCCUAAUACAUGCAAGUCGAGCGAACAGAUAAGGAGCUUGCUCCUUUGACGUUAGCGGCGGACGGGUGAGUAACACGUGGAUAACCUCCCUAUAAGACUGGGAUCACUUCGGGAAACCGGAGCUAAUACCGGAUACCAUCUUGAACCGCAUGGUUCAAUGGUGAAAGGCGGCUUUGCUGUCACUUGUAGAUGGAUCCGCGCCGUAUUAGCUAGUUGGUAAGGUAACGGCUUACCAAGGCAACGAUCCGUAGCCGACCUGAGAGGGUGAUCGGCGACACUGGAACGGAGACACGGUCCAGACUCCUACGGGAGGCAGCAGUAGGGAAUCGUCCGCAAUGGGCGAAAGCCUGACGGAGCAACGCCGCGUGAGUGAGGAAGGUCUUCGGAUCGUAAAACUCUGUUAUCAGGGAAGAACAAAUGUGUAAGUAACUGUGCACAUCUUGACGGUACCUGAUCAGAAAGCCACGGCUAACUACGUG
This 497-nucleotide ribosomal RNA is filed under the name uncultured bacterium. RNAcentral describes it as "partial 16S ribosomal RNA". It matches the Rfam family "Bacterial small subunit ribosomal RNA", at positions 28 to 507 of the family's 1533-position model. The record is from RNAcentral.